Molecule: non-coding RNA, 219 nt
Organism: Lysinibacillus sp. BF-4
Lineage: Bacteria; Bacillati; Bacillota; Bacilli; Caryophanales; Bacillaceae
Source: Rfam
GUAACAACAAUGAUAAAGAGUAGUAGGUGCAAUUGACCUUUUUAGAGAGUGUAUGGUUGGUGAAAAUACACAAGGCAAUGCAUUGAAUGGACUUUUGAGUUGAUAAGGUGAACGGUUGCAGUAGCUUUAUUCGUGCCCCUCGCGUUAAGAGGUAAAGUGGCUAAAGUAAUUUAGCAAGCUGGGUGGUACCACGGAUUUAAAACAUCAUUCGUCCCUUCU